Oncorhynchus tshawytscha (Chinook salmon) is the source of this 390-nucleotide long non-coding RNA. The record is from Ensembl. NCBI's taxonomy places the organism in Eukaryota, Metazoa, Chordata, Actinopteri, Salmoniformes, Salmonidae.
UGGGUGGCUGUAGUCUGUGUGGGUGGGUGGCUGUAGUCUGUGUGGGUGGGUGGCUGUAGUCUGUGUGGGUGGGUGGCUGUUGGGUGUGUGGGUAGGUGGCUGUAGUCUGUGUGGGUGGGUGGCUGUAGGGUGUGUGGGUGGGUGGCUGUAGGGUGUGUGGGUGGGUGGCUGUAGGGUGUGUGGGUGGGUGGCUGUAGGGUGUGUGGGUGGGUGGCUGUAGUCUGUGUGGGUGGGUGGCUGGAGUCUGUGUGGGUAGGUGGCUGUAGUCUGUAGGGUGUGUGGGUGGGUGGCUGUAGUCUGUGUGGGUGGGUGGCUGUAGUCUGUGUGGGUGGGUGGCUGUAGUCUGUGUGGGUGGGUGGCUGUAGGGUGUGUGGGUGGGUGGCUGUAGUC